This 460-nucleotide ribosomal RNA is filed under the name uncultured bacterium. RNAcentral describes it as "partial 16S ribosomal RNA". It matches the Rfam family "Bacterial small subunit ribosomal RNA", at positions 338 to 795 of the family's 1533-position model. The record is from RNAcentral.
CCUACGGGAGGCAGCAGUGAGGAAUAUUGGUCAAUGGACGAGAGUCUGAACCAGCCAAGUAGCGUGAAGGAUGACUGCCCUAUGGGUUGUAAACUUCUUUUAUAUGGGAAUAAAAUGUUCCACGUGUGGGAGUUUGUAUGUACCAUAUGAAUAAGGAACGGCUAACUACGUGCCAGCAGCCGCGGUAAUACGGAGGAUCCGAGCGUUAUCCGGAUUUAUUGGGUUUAAAGGGAGCGUAGGUGGAUUGUUAAGUCAGUUGUGAAAGUUUGCGGCUCAACCGUAAAAUUGCAGUUGAAACUGGCAGUCUUGAGUACAGUAGAGGUGAGCGGAAUUCGUGGUGUAGCGGUGAAAUGCUUAGAUAUCACGAAGAACUCCGAUUGCGAAGGCAGCUCACUGGACUGCAACUGACACUGAGGCUCGAAAGUGUGGGUAUCAAACAGGAUUAGAUACCCCUGUAGUC